This is a long non-coding RNA of Junco hyemalis (dark-eyed junco), 1771 nucleotides long. The record is from Ensembl. Lineage: Eukaryota; Metazoa; Chordata; Aves; Passeriformes; Passerellidae.
AUGGGGCCUUCCCAGGGCACAGCCAGGGACCGUCCCCUGUCCGGUGUCCCCUGUCCAGUGUCCCCUGUCCGGUGUCCCCUGUCCGGUGUCCCCUGUCCGGUGUCCCUUAUCCCAUGUCCUGAGUCCACCCCGUGUCCACCCCAGAUGUCCCUCAUGUGGGUCCAGGUGUCUGCAGCCCAUCUCUGUCCCAUGUCCAUCCCAUGUCCAUCUGUCCAGCUGUGUCCAUCCCCAUGUCCAUCUGUCUAUCCAUGUCCAUCUGUGCUGUGUCCAUGUGUCUGUGCCAUGUCCAUCUGUCUGUCGGUGUUGGUCGGGCGGGUCCUGGCGCAGUGCUGUCCCCAUCCCUGUCCCUCCCAUGUCCGUCUGUCCAGCUGUGUCCAUCCCCGUGUCCGUGCUGUGUCCGUCUGUCCAUCCAUGCCGUGUCUGUCUGUCCAGCUGUCUCUAUCUGUCCAUGCCAUGUCCAUCCCUGUGUCCGUGCUGUGUCCGUCUGUCCAUCCAUGCCGUGUCUGUCUGUCCGUCCAUCCCGUGACUGUCCGUGAUGUGUCCAUCUGUGCCAUAUCCGUCUGUCCAGCCGUGUCCGUCUAUCCAGCCAUGUCCAUCUCUCCAGCCGUGUCCAUCUGUCCAUCCGUGCCGCGUCUGUCUGUCCACGGGUGUCCGUCUGUCCAUCUCUGCCGUGUCCGUCCGUCUGUCCUGGCGUCCAUCAGGCGGGUCCGGGCGCGGCGCCGUCGCCGUCCCUGUCCGCGGGUCCGGCCGCCCACUGCGGCCGCAGGAUGGUUCCGGUGUGGCCCUCGCGGGCCUGGGGCCGCUGCUCCCGCGGGAUGCGCACGGCCCGGAACCGCGGCACGGCCGGGGGCGGGGCGGCCGCCGCCCGCCGGAAAAAACCCAGCUGGGGAGACAGGGCACGGGGAUAUCGCGACAUGGCACCGGGCACAGCGACAUAUCGCGACAUGGCACCGGACAGUGGGAUAUAUCGCGAUAUGGCACCGGGCAGAGUGAGACAUAUCAUGAUAUGGCACCGGGCACAGUGACAUAUCGCGACAUGGCACCGGACAGAGUGAUAUAUCGCGAUAUGGCACCGGGCAGAGUGAGACAUAUCAUGAUAUGGCACAGGACACAGUGACUUAUCGCGAUAUGGCACUGGACAGACUGAGAUAUAUCGCGAUAUGGCACUGGACAGAGUGAUAUAUCGUGAUAAAGCACCAGACAGAGUGAUAUAUUAUGAUAUGGCACCGGGCACAGUGACAUAUCGUGACAUGGCACCGGACAGUGGGAUAUAUUGCGAUAUGGCACCGGGCAGACUGAGAUAUAUCACAAUAUGGCACCGGACAGAGUGAUAUAUCGUGAUAUAGCACCAGACAGUGAUAUAUUAUGAUAUGGCACCGGACAGAGUGAUAUAUCGUGAUAUAGCACCAGACAGUGAUAUAUUAUGAUAUGGCACUGGACACAGUGAGUUAUCGCGACAUGGCAUCAGGCAGUGUGGGGUAUAUCGCAAUAUGCCACCUUGUACCAUGCUGUAUCGCGAUAUGCCGCGCUCUGUGGUGCCAUAUUGCGAUAUACAACGCUGUAUUGUGCCAUAUCGUGCCGUAUCGCGAUAUGUCGUGUUCUAUCGCGCCGUAUCGUGAUAGCAGGGCGUCCCUCACCUUCCAGAGCCCCAGCACGAGCAGCGCCAGCAGCAGCAGCCCCAGCAGCACCGCCAGCGGCAGCACCCACCAGGGCACCGCGGUGACGGCCACGCCUGGGUCCAGGUGCAGGGACACCGACAUCUGCGGGGUCA